GACGAACGCUGGCGGCGUGCUUAACACAUGCAAGUCGAACGGAAAGGCCCUGCUUUUGUGGGGUGCUCGAGUGGCGAACGGGUGAGUAACACGUGAGUAACCUGCCCUUGACUUUGGGAUAACUUCAGGAAACUGGGGCUAAUACCGGAUAGGAGCUCCUGCUGCAUGGUGGGGGUUGGAAAGUUUCGGCGGUUGGGGAUGGACUCGCGGCUUAUCAGCUUGUUGGUGGGGUAGUGGCUUACCAAGGCUUUGACGGGUAGCCGGCCUGAGAGGGUGACCGGCACAAUGGGGCCUGAGUAACGGCCCAACUUCUACCGGGAGGAGAAGGGGGGGAAUAUUGCAAAAGGGGCGGAGGCCUGAGGAAGAACCGCGGGGUGGGGGAGGACGGCUUUGGGGUUGUAACCGGCUUCGGCUUGUGAGGAAGCGGGAGGGCGGGUAAUGGGUAAAGAAGAACCGGUUAACUACGU
Molecule: ribosomal RNA, 467 nt
Filed under: uncultured bacterium
Lineage: Bacteria
Description: partial 16S ribosomal RNA
Rfam family: Bacterial small subunit ribosomal RNA
Source: RNAcentral